Molecule: long non-coding RNA, 834 nt
Organism: Vulpes vulpes (red fox)
Lineage: Eukaryota; Metazoa; Chordata; Mammalia; Carnivora; Canidae
Source: Ensembl
AUGGUCAACUCCACGCAGGGUGCAGCGGUGCCCUUCGGGGCCUUCGGGGCCUCUACUAUGGGAGGUGGGCAGGGAGAGGGCAGGAGACACCAGGGCAGGCGACCAGCCGAAACCUUCCCGUUUCUCCUAAAUGGGGUUGGGAUGUUGGCCGCCUGCCCCCCAGACAGAGCAGGUAACGCGUGUCCUCUGCACUGCCUGGCCUCGGGGACAGGGCCCAGGGACUCUCGGUUCUUCCAGCAGUCAGACAAGCCGCAGGUACUACGAAGCACCACGUGGGCCGGGCCAGAGUGGCGGNAGCGGGGCCACAGAGGCGGGAGGGGGCAGGAGAGGGGGCCCCAAGCGGGCGGGCUCGGGUCUUGGAAACGCGAACCAGCCAAGGCCCAGACGCAGGAGCAACUUCGGACCGGCGCCGCACAGCAGGGCUCACGGGCGUCGGGGAAGCCCAGCAUACUGACCCUUCACCCCAAACCCCAUGGCCCAGCCAUCCCGGGGGGCGCCCCACCGCCGCCUUCUGGCCCCGCCCACACCUUGGCCCCGCCCCGCUGUGGUCACGUGAUGCGCUCUGGGCGCCCCGCCCCCAGCGGUGAUUGGUUCGGGCGGUCAUGUGACCGGACCGCUGCGCAGGAACCAAAAUGGAGGGAUAGGUUGAGGGGUCUGGCUUCGUGGCGGCCCCACCUGCCCGGUGUCGUCGAGGUUUGCCGGUGCUGCCGUGGAGCCGAGGUUGGCUGUGUUUCGGUUUCUAGCACUGGCAACCUGAAGGUGUGCCCAGGAGGACACAGACUAAUUCUAGUGGACAACGCUGUGAAGCCCAAACACACCUGGAUCUCAGUCUAG